This is a long non-coding RNA of Juglans microcarpa x Juglans regia, 546 nucleotides long. RefSeq lists it as uncharacterized. The record is from RefSeq and is a predicted model, not a curated record. NCBI's taxonomy places the organism in Eukaryota, Viridiplantae, Streptophyta, Magnoliopsida, Fagales, Juglandaceae. The transcript is spliced from 3 exons.
AUCUCCUAUCAAUAACCCCACUCUCUGAAGCUCAAGCUCUCUCUCUCUCUCUCUCUCUCUCUCUCUCCCUAUAUCGUUCUUAUUUUUCGCUGCUAUCGAGCCAUUGUCGCUAGUCCAGUUGCCGCCUCAAGCUUUGCAUGCCGCUGUUUUCUUCUUGGUUUAAACUCCUGUUAUUUAUAAUAGAGGUUUUUGACAAGAGUAUUGUUUUACAAGUUGAUGGGGAAAGGGAAAGAUAAAAAAUCUCCAAGGCCUCCCAGCAUUGCUCCAUUAAUUCAAGUAUUGUCGUCUUACUCCCAGCUUGUGUUCUUUGAACUUAUAUUUAUUUAUAUCUUUAAUUGUGUUUAUAAAUCUAUUGUUUAUAUUUUAGGAAAUACCAAAAACAUUUUAUUCGGAUUGGUCGAGCUAUAUGCAUGGUUAUUAUGGAGCUAUGCCACCUCCAUUUUUUCCACCAUUUUUUCCCCAUCCAAAUACCCAUCACUAUCCAUGGGAGGCCAGCAAUUGUUGGCCCGACCGUUUAUAUCGCCAAUUCCUUAACCUAUUGCAUUC